Long non-coding RNA from Leptidea sinapis, 1435 nucleotides. RefSeq lists it as uncharacterized. The transcript has 3 exons. The record is from RefSeq and is a predicted model, not a curated record. Lineage: Eukaryota; Metazoa; Arthropoda; Insecta; Lepidoptera; Pieridae.
UGCGUAGGUAAGUAUUUACUUACACGCAUAAAAUCAACUCAACAAUCAAUUUGUUUCGGAGUACAUUAUAUUAUCAUAUUAAAAAAAACAGGGCCAUGUGGCUAUCCACAUCCGGGAGCCGCGUUGGUGACUCAACCAAUUGGGACAGACCAUUGGCCAAUGCAAAAUUAUGCACAGAUCGCCCUGCGUAGUCUGUGAGAAAAUUGACGGAGAUAUCACCCGUUGUUGAGGCAACCGGCCGGACCUUACAUCCCGUAUGUAUAGGCCCUCAAGGUCACACGCAGACGUCUACUAAGAAACCAAGAUGGAUCCUUUCGCUGACCCACCACCUGGCACGUCACAGAGCCAGAUAGCGGGCCCGCUGGGCCCGCCACACAGCCACCCUUUGGCUGUGUACUCGUCCACACUUAUAAUAUUAAUGAAGAUAUCCACGAGCUAUGUAAACAGCUCUCUAGCAGCACCAGACCGGUCCAGCCACUCUUUUAUCAGGAUGGCCUUCUGAAGUUCACAGCGGCAGACAGGGCGGAAAUCCGGGCAGUCUGGAGCGAUAGUUUGCACCAAAUCCAGACUUGGAUCCCCAUCACACCAGAAGGGUGGAGCGUAGUGUAGCGAAAACGCAGGCGAUCAUCACCGGAAAUUCACAACUACCUUCACCCUUAAAGCUGAUGUCGGAGUAAGUCCCAUGGAGGGGACUUCCUCUGCCAUGGGAAGUCAAAUACCUGGGAGUAACCAUUGACCGGAGACUCAGCUUCAAGAAACAUUGGGAUGUCGAGGGGUGCUCGCGCCAAACUGCAGCCCAUCCUGCGGUCCAAGCUGCCACUAGGAACAAAACUCAUGAUUUAUAAAACUUACAUACGGUCCAGACUGACCUAUGCAGCAGCAGCUUGGUACUCGCUUCUCACCACGACGAACCGGGUUCGCCUGCAAACUCAAGAAAACCUUGCGUUGCGGGCCAUAUUGGGGGCACCGCGUUAUGUAAGAAACGCUACGAUCGCCAAAGAUCUGAAGACGGAGACUAUAGACGCCUUCGUACGAAGGCUUACAAAUGAAAUCACAUCUUCAUCUGAUAGGAAUUGCCCCGCUACACACAAGACCCCCAGAUGAAGAGGGUAGAAGAAAAAUGAAGGCAUACUCAAGAGACAUUGCAAACGAAGAGGAGAAAAACAAUCCCAAAAGAAGCCGAAUACGACAAAGGACUGACUGACUGACUAGCUACUGUGCAAGAACAAAAGAAAAAAUUAAUAAAAGAAAAACACAAAAAAAUAAUCACCGUCACCUUACCCAAAGACUCUCACAACGUUUUGGGAGUAGAAGAGCCAGGGUAUAGGGCUUAGCCUUGAUAUUGUGAAUUCUAAGGGGUAAAGCUGCCCAAAUUGUAUUGAGUCAUUAUUAUAAUUAUUAGUGGCAACUGUAAAAUGCAGAUAUUUCAAUUUUA